This 784-nucleotide unclassified non-coding RNA is filed under the name Hevea brasiliensis (rubber tree). Lineage: Eukaryota; Viridiplantae; Streptophyta; Magnoliopsida; Malpighiales; Euphorbiaceae. The record is from RNAcentral.
GAAGAAGCGAAAGUACGAGCUUGGACGUCAACCAGCUAAUACCAAGAUUUCCAGUAACAAGACAGUCAGACGAAUUCGUGUGCGUGGUGGUAAUGUGAAGUGGAGGGCACUGAGGUUGGACACUGGAAACUAUUCAUGGGGUAGUGAGGCAGUCACACGCAAGACUCGUAUCCUUGAUGUGGUUUACAAUGCCUCGAACAAUGAGCUUGUCCGUACACAAACUCUUGUGAAGAGUGCAAUUGUUCAAGUUGAUGCAGCACCAUUUAAACAGUGGUACCUCCAGCACUAUGGUAUUGACAUUGGUAGGAAAAAGAAGGGGGCCGCUAAGAAGGAAACUACAACCGAGGAGGGAGAUGCUGCUGAGGAAGCUAAGAAGAGCAACCAUGUAGUCCGGAAAAUUGAGAAACGUCAGAAGGAUCGUACCCUUGAUAGUCACCUUGAAGAGCAAUUCAGCUCUGGUAGGCUAUAUGCCUGCAUCUCAUCCCGCCCUGGUCAAUGUGGCCGAGCUGAUGGGUACAUUUUGGAAGGGAAAGAGUUGGAAUUCUAUAUGAAGAAACUUCAAAAGAAGAAAGGCAAGGCAUCUGGUGCUUCUGCUUAAGUGAUUCUUUCGGUAUGUCCAGACUAGUUUGUGUUAAUCAAGCUUCAAUUUUGAGAGUGUAUGUGUUUGUAUACACUACCUUUUACCAUAAGUUCAAAGUGAUGACUGGUCUUCAUUAUUACCAUUUUUUUGUAGUUUGAAAUUUUACUACAUUUCAGCGUGUAGUCAUAUAUAAUCACAGGCAGA